GACAGAGGGGGCAAGCGUUGCUCGGAAUCACUGGGCGUAAAGGGCGCGUAGGCGGGAUGGCAAGUCGGUCGUGAAAUCCUUCGGCUCAACCGAAGAACGUCGGCCGAUACUGCCGUUCUUGAGGGAUGCAGAGGAGAUUGGAAUUCCCGGUGUAGAGGUGAAAUUCGUAGAUAUUCGCAAGAACACCAGUGGCGAAGGCGGCUCACUGGCCCGGUACUGACGCUGAGGCACGAAAGCGUGGGGAGCAAACAGG
Molecule: ribosomal RNA, 253 nt
Filed under: uncultured bacterium
Lineage: Bacteria
Description: partial 16S ribosomal RNA
Rfam family: Bacterial small subunit ribosomal RNA
Source: RNAcentral